This 303-nucleotide ribosomal RNA is filed under the name uncultured soil bacterium. RNAcentral's name for it is "bacterial SSU rRNA". It matches the Rfam family "Bacterial small subunit ribosomal RNA", at positions 26 to 329 of the family's 1533-position model. The record is from RNAcentral.
AGAUUGAACGCUGGCGGCAUGCUUUACACAUGCAAGUCGAACGGCAGCACGGGGGCAACCCUGGUGGCGAGUGGCGAACGGGUGAGUAAUACAUAGGAACGUAUCCUGAAAUGGGGGAUAGCUCGGCGAAAGCCGGAUUAAUACCGCAUACGAUCCACGGAUGAAAGCAGGGGAUUCGCAAGAACCUUGCGUUUCUGGAGCGGCCUAUGUCUGAUUAGCUAGUUGGCGGGGUAAUAGCCCACCAAGGCGACGAUCAGUAGCUGGUCUGAGAGGAUGAUCAGCCACACUGGGACUGAGACACGG